Molecule: non-coding RNA, 935 nt
Organism: Mauremys reevesii (Reeves's turtle)
Lineage: Eukaryota; Metazoa; Chordata; Testudines; Geoemydidae
Source: the annotation of a RefSeq genome assembly
AUGGAUAAUUUGGUUCCUGAGACACAGAACUGCCCGGUCCUGCCUGCUGGGGAGUUUCCCUCACUGCAUGAACACGAGAAUGAAAUCUCUGUGGCUUUUCCUUUCCCUGUCUCUGCCCCCUCCUGUGUCCUGUCCCAGGUGCAGCUGGUCCAGUCCGGCCCGGGGGUGGUGAAGCCGGAAGCGACCCUCAGCAUCACCUGUAAAGUCUCUGGAGUCUCUGUCAGUGAUCACUACUGGCACUGGAACCGGCAGCCCCCCGGGAAAGGGCUGGAGUGGAUGGGCUUUAUCCGGAGCACUGAACGGGGAGGGACCACAGAGUAUAACUCGGCUCUCAAGCCUCGUGUCACCAUCACCAGGGACACCUCUAAAAACGAAGUUUAUCUCCAGCUCGGCUCGCUGACAGCUGCAGACACCGGCACCUAUUACUGCGCCAGGGAAGCCACAGUGACACAGAGCAGAGCAGGGACUGGUACAAAAAGGAGAAGCGAAUUUCGUAAUAAUCACCCGACAUCAUGUAGGGGAUGAGACAGACAGGCGGGGCAAUACCGACAGGGGAUCUCAGGAGCCACCCGCUGUUCUCCGCGUGCGUCCACCCUCCCAGCCCCUUCCGCCAAGGGAUGUUACACGCUCGCUUCCCUGCGCUUCCCACUGAAAUGUGCACCGGGGACUCACUGACACCGUGGUAACGGUGACAUGAACGGUGAGAUACUCCGGGCCUCAAUACCAAAGCAUGUUCCGCGCCUGCAUCGCUGAGUGACGUCAGUCACAGCUCUGGGCGAUUAUCCACUUCUGGGAAUCCGGCUCCCUGGGACUCGCGCUGGGACCCGAACAAUUCACAAUCCCAGACUCAGACACCGCUUUAGGAAACGUUGCCCCAGGGGAACUAGUGCCAGAGGCGCUAAGCGGGCACUGCUCUGCCUGAAGUCAGUGAGACC